CUGCUUUUAUAUGUGACGAUUAUGACGGUAGCAUAUGAAUAAGGAUCGGCUAAUUCCGUGCCAGCAGCCGCGGUCAUACGGAAGAUCCAAGCGUUAUCCGGAAUUACUGGGCGUAAAGAGUUGCGUAGGUGGCAUAGUAAGUAGAUAGUGAAAUCCUGGGGCUCAACCCUUUAAACAUUAUCUAAACUGCUAAGCUAGAGGGCGAGAGAGGUUACUAGAAUUUCUUGUGUAGGAGUGAAAUCCGUAGAUAUAAGAAGGAAUACCGAUGGCGUAGGCAGGUAACUGGCUCGUCCCUGACACUAAGGCACGAAAGCGUGGGGAGCGACCGGGAUUAGAUACCCCGUUAGUCCACGCCGUAAACGAUGGAUGCUAGCUGUUAUGAGUAUCGACCCUCGUAGUAGCGAAGCUAACGCGUUAAGCAUCCCGCCUGUGGAGUACGAGCGCAAGCUUAAAACAUAAAGGAAUUGACGGGGACCCGCACAAGCGGUGGAGCGUGUUCUUUAAUUCGAUGGUAAGCGAAGAACCUUACCCAGGUUUGACAUCCUGCGAAGGUCUCCGAAAGGAGACUGUGCCUUGUGAGCGCAGUGACAGGUGUUGCAUGGCCGUCGUCAGCUCGUGUCGUGAGAUGUUUGGUUAAGUCCAUCAACGAGCGCAACCCUUAUAGUUAGUUGAAUUUCUCUAGCUAGACUGCCCCGGCAACGGGGAGGAAGGAGGGGAUGAUGUCAGGUCAGUAUUACCCUUACACCUGGGGCUAGAAACACGCUACAAUGGCCGGUACAAAGGGCAGCCAAGUCGCGAGACGGAGCAAAUCCCAUCAAAGCCGGUCUCAGUUCGGAUAGCAGGCUGAAACUCGCCUGC
Molecule: ribosomal RNA, 858 nt
Filed under: uncultured bacterium
Lineage: Bacteria
Description: bacterial SSU rRNA
Rfam family: Bacterial small subunit ribosomal RNA
Source: RNAcentral